AUUGAACGCUGGCGGCAUGCCUUACACAUGCAAGUCGAACGGUAACAGGGAGCUUGCUCCGCUGACGAGUGGCGAACGGGUGAGUAAUGUAUCGGAACGUACCAUAGAGUGGGGGAUAACUAUCCGAAAGGAUAGCUAAUACCGCAUAUUCUCUCCGGAGGAAAGCAGGGGACCGCAAGGCCUUGCGCUCUUUGAGCGGCCGAUAUCAGAUUAGCUAGUUGGUGAGGUAAAGGCUCACCAAGGCGACGAUCUGUAGCGGGUCUGAGAGGAUGAUCCGCCACACUGGAACUGAGACACGGUCCAGACUCCUACGGGAGGCAGCAGUGGGGAAUAUUGGACAAUGGGCGCAAGCCUGAUCCAGCCAUGCCGCGUGAGUGAUGACGGCCUUAGGGUUGUAAAGCUCUUUUACCCGGGAAGAUAAUGACGGUACCGGGAGAAUAAGCCCCGGCUAACUUCGUG
This 459-nucleotide ribosomal RNA is filed under the name uncultured bacterium. Its description in RNAcentral is "bacterial SSU rRNA". It matches the Rfam family "Bacterial small subunit ribosomal RNA", at positions 30 to 507 of the family's 1533-position model. The record is from RNAcentral.